CCUCAAACUAGGCCUCCCGGUCUCCUGGAGCCAGGUUUCAAACCACUGGUCCUGAAAAAGUGUUUUCGUGUUCCUUCAGCUUAAGAAAGGGGUUGAGCAGCUGGGGUUGGAUGGUUCACAUUAUUAUAUUUGUUCACGGUUUUCUAAAACGAAUGUGUUUUACUACAUCUGCAAAAAUAUUAAACAAACUACAGUUCCCAGAGAACACCGCGGCGCAGAUUCGACGCAUAGCCGUGUCGUCACGCUUGCAUCGUCAUCAGUCUUUAGCCGGAAGCAGCAUGGCCAGCAGUGAUAAAAGCCAUGGGUGUCUCCAAAGUGUGGGAUCGGCAGCCUAAACAAAACAAAAUGGUCAGUGGAACAUCCUUCAAAGAACUUCUUGAAAAAGGUUCACAAAAACUUGGCCUUCCAAAAAAAGGGCAUAUACUGGUCCUGGAAACUGACGGAACUGAGAUUGAUGACGACGAAAUCUUAUUGGAGAUGCAAUCAGAAACUUUAAUAAUACUGAUGGAAGGAGAGAGCUGGAUCCCACAGAUACCCACAGAAGAACAAGCGAGCAUAACAUCAAUUGAGCAGAAGUCUGAUUCCGAAAAAAUAAAUGAAAUCCUAUCCCUUGACUCCGCAGCGUACAUGGAAUCUUUUACAAAUGGGAGAUGAUCAACAGUGGAUGAUAGAACCCCUCUGCCUCCAUUUUCUGCCCUGGUGCAUAGAAGUCUUCUGGCUGGCAAUUCAAGAGGGAUAUGGCAUAAAAUGGUUGAUGAAGUAUCUAAUUGUUAUCUGGCUAAUUAUCCCAGCCUAAGUGACAGUUCUGAAUACAAGGCCAUUGGAAAAAAAGCUGUAUAGCAAAUACCCAUGCAUUAAGCAUGAAGGGAAUGAACCAUGGUCCUUAUUUUCUAAGUGCCUCAGUCAGAAGAUGAGGCACAUGAGGUGGUCUUUAAAAAGGAAAAACCUGCCCAUUGACUCCAGUUCGGCACCAAUUAUGGCAAAGAAAGCCCAGGUACCUACCAUACAGAGGCCUGAAGAACGGCCCGAUGAAGAAUACGUCCGCCAUGUCGAAGAAUUAAGAAAAGAAUUUGACUAAAGCCUAAUGACAAUCACAUAGACAUUCUUCUUAAAGAAACCUUUGGCAAUCGUCGAUUGUGGCUGACCACUCUUCCAGCUGGAAGAAUUAAACCAGUUGUUGAAGUUUACCCUUGUUUUGAAUGGGGAAAAUUUGUAAGUAUUUGUUUAUUUACUCAUGUUAUUGUAAAGUUAUAGAGGGCAUACUACAAUUCACCUGCUUACAGUUAACUGCAUUAUUAUUUUCCUUCUACAGUUUCAUCAAACAGUCAAUAUUACUGAUCACUAAAAUAAAAUUCAAAUUGUGGUUGUGAAUGUUGGUUUAAAGGUUGCGAUUUGCUUUAAUCCAAUUCAAGUACAGUUAUUAUGAUGAUGAUAUACAGAAACUCAUUUUGUGACAUUUAUUUUACUUUAUUUUUUAUUCAUUUUAAGUAAAUAUUUAUUUUUAAUGUAAUGUCAACCAUUUUCUAAAACUGUUAUCUGACAGCAGAGGUCCUGGGUUUAUAAAUUCUAGUUCAACAUUCCUGCUUUGGAGGUAGUUUUUAUUUAUUUUUAUUUUUUUUACAACUUGUGCAUGUGUUUUUCUAUGAGGUAAUGGGUGAAUUUGCAAUGGUCCUUGGAAGUACAUGAUUUGAAACAUUGUGCAAAAGGGCUGAACAGGUUAGGACGGUCUCUGAGUUACUGAUUGGAUCCAAGAAAGAGGGAGAUCUCAGAAUGCUACCUGUAAUUCAGCUCAUUGAAGAAAAAACGAAAUUUGAUCAAGGAAAGGGGAAAAAGUCACUGUAUACAAGGAUAUAUCUACAAGUGAACUUGACAAGUACCUGAAAACCACACAAGAAGAACCACCGCAUCUUGUUCUUUGUGUUGCAAAGAACACCCUCCAGGAAGCUGUAAUAGUAGAGGAUACUGUUGCGAUAUUUUGCCAAGCAAAAACUGGAUUCGAUGCUGUUCUUGUUCUCCUGGGAACGUACUAUGCCUUCCACCUGCAGUACCCCAAAGUUUAUUCGCAGGUGCUUGGAUUCCUGCAGCAGUAUAUAUUGGGAGACCCAUUUACUGGAUGCAAAUCCCAUCAAUACAGAUUUAUUUGCAAAAGGGUUGAACGAUUAAAUGAAUGAAUUACAACAAUAACAUUCUUACAUAAUUGUAAAUAUCUGUAAACAAAUUAAAUAAUUGUAAAUGAUUUGUUAAAUCUGGAUUUCAUGAUAAGGUAGUAUGUUUUUAUUGUGUAUUUAAAUAAUUUAUUUGAGGGAGUGGUCAUAUACAGUAUUCUAUUUGAUGUUUUAGAUGUUUUUAAUACAAUCAUAUAUAUGUAUAUAGGUGUAACAGAUUUUAUUCUACAAAUUUUAAAUAUUUAUUACAAUUCAAAUACUUGUUACUCUUGCAAAAGAUUUUUUGUGAAAAAAAAAAGUUUUUGGCUUAACUUUGAAAUAUGCAAUAAAUAAAAGUAAGUUGUUUAAUUUGUGUCUUUUUGUAUUGUAAAAAUAAGAGA
Long non-coding RNA from Acipenser ruthenus (sterlet), 2545 nucleotides. RefSeq lists it as uncharacterized. The transcript has 7 exons. The record is from RefSeq and is a predicted model, not a curated record. Lineage: Eukaryota; Metazoa; Chordata; Actinopteri; Acipenseriformes; Acipenseridae.